This 492-nucleotide ribosomal RNA is filed under the name uncultured bacterium. Its description in RNAcentral is "partial 16S ribosomal RNA". It matches the Rfam family "Bacterial small subunit ribosomal RNA", at positions 29 to 507 of the family's 1533-position model. The record is from RNAcentral.
AGUGAACGCUGGCGGUAGGCCUAACACAUGCAAGUCGAACGGCAGCACAGUAAGAGCUUGCUCUUACGGGUGGCGAGUGGCGGACGGGUGAGGAAUACAUCGGAAUCUACUUUUUCGUGGGGGAUAACGUAGGGAAACUUACGCUAAUACCGCAUACGACCUACGGGUGAAAGCAGGGGAUCUUCGGACCUUGCGCGAUUGAAUGAGCCGAUGUCGGAUUAGCUAGUUGGCGGGGUAAAGGCCCACCAAGGCGACGAUCCGUAGCUGGUCUGAGAGGAUGAUCAGCCACACUGGAACGGAGACACGGUCCAGACUCCUAAGGGAGGCAGCAGUGGGGAAUAUUGGACAAUGGGCGCAAGCCUGAUCCAGCCAUACCGCGUGGGUGAAGAAGGCCUUCGGGUUGUAAAGCCCUUUUGUUGGGAAAGAAAAGCAGCAGGUUAAGACCCCGCUGUUCUGACGGUACCCAAAGAAUAAGCACCGGCUAACUUCGUG